This 67-nucleotide ribosomal RNA is filed under the name Cupriavidus agavae. Lineage: Bacteria; Pseudomonadati; Pseudomonadota; Betaproteobacteria; Burkholderiales; Burkholderiaceae. The record is from RNAcentral.
GGACCGUGAAACGACUUUGCGCCGAUGAUAGUGCGGAUACCCGUGUGAAAGUAGGUCAUCGCCAGGC